GUCUAUGGUCAUACCACCCUGAACGUGCCUGAUCUCAUCUGAUCUCGGAAGCUAAGUAGGGUCAGGCCUGGUUAGUACUUGGAUGGGAGACCGCAUGGGAAUAACAGAUGCUGUAGACU
Ribosomal RNA from Bison bison bison, 119 nucleotides. NCBI's taxonomy places the organism in Eukaryota, Metazoa, Chordata, Mammalia, Artiodactyla, Bovidae. The record is from Ensembl.